GUGCUCACACAUGCUACAAAUGGAAUGCUACAGAAAGACUAGCAUGGCCCCUGCGCAAGGAUGAACCACGGUGGGUGCAAUAAACAAAGUUUAU
Cricetulus griseus (Chinese hamster) is the source of this 94-nucleotide small nuclear RNA. The record is from Ensembl. NCBI's taxonomy places the organism in Eukaryota, Metazoa, Chordata, Mammalia, Rodentia, Cricetidae.